Molecule: long non-coding RNA, 300 nt
Organism: Astyanax mexicanus (Mexican tetra)
Lineage: Eukaryota; Metazoa; Chordata; Actinopteri; Characiformes; Acestrorhamphidae
Exons: 3
Source: RefSeq, a predicted model, not a curated record
UUAAUUACAUGUAGACACUAACUCACUGAUCACUGACUUUAUUAAUGUUUAUUUGGGUUUAGUAUUCUAAUGUUAUAUAGAGUUAAUUACAGGUAGACACUAACUCUCACUGAUCACUGACUUUAUUAAUGUUUAUUUGGGUUUAGUAUUCUAAUGUUAUAUAGAGAUAAUUACAGGUAGACACUCUCACUGAUCACUGACUUUAUUAAUUAUGUUUAUUUGGGUUUAGUAUUCUAAUGUUAUAUAGAGUUAAUUACAGGUAGACACUCUCACUGAUCACUGACUUUAUUAAUUAUGUUU